GACGUAGGGUGCAAGCGUUGUCCGGAUUUACUGGGCGUAAAGAGCGCGUAGGCGGUCUGUUAAGUGAGAAGUGAAAGCUCCGGGCUCAACUCGGAAAUGGCGUUUCAUACUGGCAGACUGGAGUGAUGCAGAGGUUUGUGGAAUUCCUGGUGUAGCGGUGAAAUGCGUUGAUAUCAGGAGGAACACCCAUGGCGAAGGCAGCAAACUGGGCAUCAACUGACGCUGAGGCGCGAAAGCGUGGGUAGCAAACAGG
RNAcentral lists this ribosomal RNA (253 nucleotides) under uncultured bacterium. Its description in RNAcentral is "partial 16S ribosomal RNA". It matches the Rfam family "Bacterial small subunit ribosomal RNA", at positions 524 to 776 of the family's 1533-position model. The record is from RNAcentral.